This 182-nucleotide ribosomal RNA is filed under the name uncultured Eubacteriales bacterium. Its description in RNAcentral is "uncultured Clostridiales bacterium partial 16S ribosomal RNA". It matches the Rfam family "Bacterial small subunit ribosomal RNA", at positions 152 to 334 of the family's 1533-position model. The record is from RNAcentral. Lineage: Bacteria; Bacillati; Bacillota; Clostridia; Eubacteriales.
GGAAACCGGGAUUAAUACCGCAUAAAAUCGUAGAAACACAUGUUUUAACGGUCAAAGAUUUAUCGGUCAUAGAUGGGCUCGCGUCUGAUUAGCUAGUUGGUGAGAUAACAGCCCACCAAGGCGACGAUCAGUAGCCGGUCUGAGAGGAUGAACGGCCACAUUGGAACUGAGACACGGUCCAA